RNAcentral lists this ribosomal RNA (253 nucleotides) under uncultured bacterium. RNAcentral's name for it is "partial 16S ribosomal RNA". It matches the Rfam family "Bacterial small subunit ribosomal RNA", at positions 524 to 776 of the family's 1533-position model. The record is from RNAcentral.
UACGUAGGUGACAAGCGUUGUCCGGAUUUACUGGGCGUAAAGAGCGCGCAGGCGGUCGAUCAAGUCGAGUGUGAAAGCCCCCGGCUCAACUGGGGAGGGUCAUUCGAUACUGAUCGACUCGAAGGCAGGAGAGGGUAGUGGAAUUCUCGGUGUAGCAGUGAAAUGCGUAGAUCUCGAGAGGAACACCAGUGGCGAAGGCGGGUCUCUGGACAACACCUGACGCUGAGGCACGAAAGCCAGGGGAGCAAACGGG